GGCGGUGGAGCAUGUGGUUUAAUUCGAAGCAACGCGAAGAACCUUACCAGGCCUUGACAUGCAGAGAACUUUCCAGAGAUGGAUUGGUGCCUUCGGGAACUCUGACACAGGUGCUGCAUGGCUGUCGUCAGCUCGUGUCGUGAGAUGUUGGGUUAAGUCCCGUAACGAGCGCAACCCUUGUCCUUAGUUACCAGCACGUUAUGGUGGGCACUCUAUGGAGACUGCCACCUAAAGUGGAGGAAGGUGGGGAUGACGUCAAGUCAGCAUGGCCCUUACGUCCGGGGCUACACACGUGCUACAAUGGCCGGUACAAAGGGUUGCGAAGCCGUGAGGUGGAGCGAAUCUCAAAAAGCCGGCCUCAGUUCGGAUUGGAGGCUGCAACUCGCCUCCAUGAAGUCGGAAUCGCUAGUAACCGCAGAUCAGCUACGUUGCGGUGAAUACGUUCCCGGGCCUU
This 454-nucleotide ribosomal RNA is filed under the name uncultured Pseudomonas sp. RNAcentral describes it as "bacterial SSU rRNA". It matches the Rfam family "Bacterial small subunit ribosomal RNA", at positions 928 to 1382 of the family's 1533-position model. The record is from RNAcentral. Lineage: Bacteria; Pseudomonadati; Pseudomonadota; Gammaproteobacteria; Pseudomonadales; Pseudomonadaceae.